GACGAACGCUGGCGGCGUGCCUAAUACAUGCAAGUAGAACGCACAGUUUAUACCGUAGCUUGCUACACCAUAGACUGUGAGUUGCGAACGGGUGAGUAACGCGUCGGUAACCUGCCUGGUAGCGGGGGAUAACUAUUGGAAACGAUAGCUAAUACCGCAUAAUAUUAAUUAUUGCAUGAUAAUUAAUUGAAAGGUGCAAUUGCACCACUACCAGAUGGACCUGCGUUGUAUUAGCUAGUAGGUGAGGUAACGGCUCACCUAGGCGACGAUACAUAGCCGACCUGAGAGGGUGAUCGGCCACACUGGGACUGAGACACGGCCCAGACUCCUACGGGAGGCAGCAGUAGGGAAUCUUCGGCAAUGGACGAAAGUCUGACCGAGCAACGCCGCGUGAGUGAAGAAGGUUUUCGGAUCGUAAGGCUCUGUUGUAAGAGAAGAACGGGUGUGAGAGUGGAAAGUUCACACUGUGACGGUAUCUUACCAGAAAGGGACGGCUAACUACGUG
Molecule: ribosomal RNA, 505 nt
Filed under: uncultured bacterium
Lineage: Bacteria
Description: partial 16S ribosomal RNA
Rfam family: Bacterial small subunit ribosomal RNA
Source: RNAcentral